UGGGAAUGUACGCUUGAGAGUAAAAUAUUCAAAGGUCAUAGACAUUUUAAGUCACUUUUUCAAAAUUAUAAUUCCAAAUUGUUUUCCCAAAUGGAUAUGCCAUGUCAAAGGUAGAACAACUCAUUGUGCUAAUUUUUAUAUAUCCUCUCCAAAAUUGGCAGUUCUGACCUUUUGUAAUGCUACCUCCUGAGGUAGAGCCCCCAUUCUGUUAUUGCAUACAAUUUUAUUAAUGACUUGCAAUCAUGUUUAAUAAAGUUGAUGAUAACUUACAAUUUUUCUUUUGAGAACUGUAGUUUCAAUCUUUUGAUGAAGGAUUUUCCAUCAUGAAAUAGUGGUUAAUCUUAGGCAUUUGGGGUACUUUUCUUAUUUCAGAAACAUUUAUUGUGAUCAUAAUGGAAAGCCAACCAAACAGACCCAUCUAUGAACUGGCAUAGGUUGAUCUCCCUGCAGGCUGUGGAGUAUUUGCAAGGUGAAAGAGAAUGCAGAUGGCCAGGCCUUGUGCAUUUUAAAAGUUCAGAAGCUCUAGCCACUUACAGGAAGUCUGGGGCCUGGGGUCCAGCCUGGGCUAUGCUUAAAAGCCAAAAAAAAAAAAGUGAGAGAGAGAGAGUCUUCCAUUGUUCAGUGAGAGAUUUGUAAAUAAAUUUUGUGGAUCAAAUCCAAGUUAAGUAUGAUCUCAUCCUUGCCUGUGAUUGUGUUGAAAUAGGAGAAAAGGUGUUGGGGUAAUAUUUGGAAUUCUUUUCUUACUAUAUUGUUGAAGCAAAUAUCUCUUACCAAAGUCUAAUUGAUGUUCAUAGUGUUAAAGUAACCAGCUCCUAAUCACCUAAUAGGGUAAACAUAACACACUGAUAUGAUGGCUGAAGACUUCAUUAUUAAGGGAUCAUACCAGGACAGCUGGGUUUUUCAAUGGUUAGAGAGCCAGACCUACAGAAAGGUCCUGCAUUCAAAUUUGGCAACUUUGCCUAGCCCUUACUGUUCUUCUGUCUUGGAACUUUUUACUUAGUAUUGGUACUAAGACAUAAAGUAAAAGUUUAAAAAGUAUAAAAAAGGAUACUACCCCCUUAGCACUCAUAGUGAGAGAUGUAGCUGGCCUUACUGUGGGAAAAUGGGGUAAUGAGAGGGAGGCCAGAGGAAGGGAGUGAUAGUCAUAUACAUAAAGAUAUUUAUAUAUCACAUAUAUGUAUUUGCAUACAUAUUUUAAAAUAUAUUAUAUACCUUUUUAAUGUGGCUAGGGAUAGAAAUUUGAAGGCAAGCCCACAAAUUGGGGAAUGGCUGAAAGUUAUGUGAUGGAAAUAUGAUAGAAUGUUAUUGUAUUUCAAUAAAUAAUGGAAGAAGGUUUGAGAAAAUAAUGGG
RNAcentral lists this long non-coding RNA (1350 nucleotides) under Monodelphis domestica (gray short-tailed opossum). RNAcentral describes it as "lncRNA (ENSMODG00000035319.2)". Lineage: Eukaryota; Metazoa; Chordata; Mammalia; Didelphimorphia; Didelphidae. The record is from RNAcentral.